UACGGAGGGUGCAAGCGUUGAUCGGAAUUACUGGGCGUAAAGCGUGCGCAGGCGGUUGUGCAAGACCGAUGUGAAAUCCCCGGGCUCAACCUGGGAAUGGCAUUGGUGACUGCACGGCUAGAGUGUGUCAGAGGGGGGUAGAAUUCCACGUGUAGCAGUGAAAUGCGUAGAGAUGUGGAGGAAUACCGAUGGCGAAGGCAGCCCCCUGGGAUAACACUGACGCUCAUGCACGAAAGCGUGGGGAGCAAACAGG
RNAcentral lists this ribosomal RNA (253 nucleotides) under uncultured bacterium. RNAcentral's name for it is "partial 16S ribosomal RNA". It matches the Rfam family "Bacterial small subunit ribosomal RNA", at positions 524 to 776 of the family's 1533-position model. The record is from RNAcentral.